This 253-nucleotide ribosomal RNA is filed under the name uncultured bacterium. RNAcentral's name for it is "partial 16S ribosomal RNA". It matches the Rfam family "Bacterial small subunit ribosomal RNA", at positions 524 to 776 of the family's 1533-position model. The record is from RNAcentral.
UACGGAGAGUGCAAGCGUUAUCCGGAUUCACUGGGUUUAAAGGGUGCGUAGGUGGGUUGGUAAGUCAGUGGUGAAAUCUCCAGGCUUAACUUGGAAACUGCCAUUGAUACUAUCAAUCUUGAAUACCGUGGAGGUCAGCGGAAUAUGUCAUGUAGCGGUGAAAUGCUUAGAUAUGACAUAGAACACCAAUUGCGAAGGCAGCUGGCUACACGAAUAUUGACACUGAUGCACGAAAGCGUGGGGAUCAAACAGG